UUUAGAUCAUCCAAAUCAAUUUCAGGAAGCCCACUUAUUAGAAGCUCAAGCUCUUUAUCAUUAAAAAUGGAAAUAAGCUCCCCAGGGAUCAAUUCAUUGAACCCUUCCAAGAAGGAAUUGAUUUGAGGACGAAUAGCAUUUGUCAAGAUAUGAUCAGCAACAAGGUCUACAUACUCAUGCUUUGUUUCUUCUGUAACCCUUAUAUUUCUUCCUCCGGGUUUAAGCUCAUAAUCAGUAACCUCAGUUUUCUCAUAAAGGAUGUGCUUUUCUUCAUCAGCAUCCAUGCUGAAUGUCAAGUCAGGUAUAUCACUCACAUCAUUCUCCAACAUCCAUUUCAAAUUCUUGUAAUAAUCAGGAUCAACAGCCUCUAUGUCAUGAUAAGUCACCUUUACUCCAAGAAUGUGCUUGUAGAAAGAU
This 417-nucleotide unclassified non-coding RNA is filed under the name Hevea brasiliensis (rubber tree). The record is from RNAcentral. Lineage: Eukaryota; Viridiplantae; Streptophyta; Magnoliopsida; Malpighiales; Euphorbiaceae.